This is a long non-coding RNA of Aedes albopictus (Asian tiger mosquito), 1115 nucleotides long. RefSeq lists it as uncharacterized. The transcript has 2 exons. NCBI's taxonomy places the organism in Eukaryota, Metazoa, Arthropoda, Insecta, Diptera, Culicidae. The record is from RefSeq and is a predicted model, not a curated record.
CUCUCGUUUUCCUACUGUUAAGCCUACUGCGAUCAGUUCUGUAAACUGUGUAUGCAUUCCCAAAUAGCUGAGUUGAUAAUAUAACGUUAUCGAGCCAAGUUUCUGUUAACACUAUGAUGUCAUAAUCAACCUCCACGACUGCUAAGAAGAACGUAUCGAUUUUCGAACGAAGCCCUCUGGUAUUUUGAUAAUAAACUCGUAGUUGUAGUGGUCCACAGCUAGAUUCAGCGUUCGUCAAUCUAUGAUGCUCGGCAGACACCAUAUGUGCAGAACAAGAAGCACGUUCAUCAUCCUGGCAAUGAUGCCCAUGGUCAGCUGGAGUCAAUGAACUAGGAGCGGGAAACGUUACAGGAAGCGCACUGUUCAAAUGCAGGUUGUACUUGCCUGAUAAUCGGUGUCGGAAGACCUCAUCUCCAGUCUCAAACACAGGACCGGGACGACUGCUGGUCGCUGGCUGGAAUGGCACGACUGUGUUGAGCGGAUUAGAGGCUUCCUUAGAGCUUGAGGCAAGUGUGCGUCCCGGUGGUUGGCUACGGAGUGGUGAGGGCCGUGAUGAACUGCAAACGUGGCAACUGGAAUCAGCGAGGCGACUGGAAGCGGGAGGUUUUUCAGGUAGCGAACUGUUCAAAAUUGAAGCAUACUUGCCUGGAAACGGGUUCCGGAAGACCUCAUCUCCUAUCUCAAACACAGGACCGGGACGACUGCUGGUCGCUGGCUGGAAUGGCAGGACUGUGUUGAGCGGAUGAGAGGCUUCCUUAGAGCUUGAGGCAAGUGUGCGUCCCGGUGGUUGGCUACGGAGUGGUGAGGACCGUGAUGAAUUGCGAACGAGGCGACUGGAGUAAGCGUGGCGACUGGAAGCGGGAGGUAUUUCAGGUAGCGAACUGUUAUUAAUGGAAUCAUACUUGCCUGAGAACGGAAUUCGGAAGACCCCAUCUCCUAUCUCAAACACAGGACCGGGACGACUGUUGGUCGCUGGCUGGGGUGGCACGACUGUGUUGAGCGGAUUAGAGGCUUCCUUGGGGCUUGAGGCAAGUUAGGUUGAAUGUUGUUUAUUCCAACGUUGCGUUUUCCGCUUCCAUCCGACUGCUCAUCGGAUCGUUGGUUUCCGGGGGAGG